RNAcentral lists this ribosomal RNA (253 nucleotides) under uncultured bacterium. RNAcentral describes it as "partial 16S ribosomal RNA". It matches the Rfam family "Bacterial small subunit ribosomal RNA", at positions 524 to 776 of the family's 1533-position model. The record is from RNAcentral.
UACGUAGGGUGCGAGCGUUAAUCGGAAUUACUGGGCGUAAAGCGUGCGCAGGCGGUUAUGUAAGACAGUUGUGAAAUCCCCGGGCUCAACCUGGGAAUUGCAUCUGUGACUGCAUAGCUAGAGUACGGUAGAGGGGGAUGGAAUUCCGCGUGUAGCAGUGAAAUGCGUAGAUAUGCGGAGGAACACCGAUGGCGAAGGCAAUCCCCUGGACCUGUGCUGACGCUCAUGCACGAAAGCGUGGGGAGCAAACAGG